CUUUACCAAAAGGUCCCUUGUAUUGUCAGUAUUCACAUUUCCCUUAACACAAGGUGUAUUUAAUAUCUCAAAUUUUAAAUCAAAUUAUAAUUCCUUUCAACAUUUCCCAACAACCUUCACACAUGAUACUGAUAGUAGCCUAUUCUCAUAAUACUGCUGGCACAAGUCUACCAGUCCUAAAGUUUUUAUUUUGUUUCUCUUCUCAUUAUAAGCAGAGACAAGACUACAACUAAAUUUCAAGCAACAUCAUAUGUAUCUAUACACCCUUGGGGGAUCUCUCCACACAACAUCCUUCUGUACACCCUCUUUGUUCCCAUCUCUUAUGUGCAUUUCUACAACCCAUAACUCCUCUUUACUCCCACACCUUCAAAAUCACAUAAACAUAUUUAAAUCGAAUUCUUUGAGACUCGAAAAGGACACUAAGAAUUACACACACCCUCAUUCUAAUAGAUUUAGUAUGAUGAAUACAAUCAAUUACCAUACAUUGAAUAAAAUUAGAACACUAUGUCAAUAGACAAAUGUAUAACUCUUGAACAGGAUAAAAGAUUAAGACUGUGGAGGUGAGAAAAGGAAGCUGUUCAAGAUUCAUUAGCUCCUGAGUAAAGCCAGAGAGAGCAUGUCUGCUAGAAUUGCAGACAGCUCACUGAGGAUGGUAACUUGGAAGGCAUCUUUCCAGAUGGCAGUCCACGUUUGACUGGCAGAGGGUUUUGUAUGUUCAGUUGAUGGUGACAUUACACAGACCGGGAACUCUUCAUACAGCAACAUUAUCUUUAUGGCUGUUUUGUUCUUUAGUGUUUCAUAGCCAACUUCAUGUCAUGCAGGACAAUAUAAUGUACACUUUUUGAGCUCACAUUGCUCUUCAAAGAUUUCCUGCGGAGAUGAAAGUAAACUAGAGAAUUUAGUUUUAUUGUGUAUCAUUUUGACCCAUUCAAUUAUAAUCAUUUUUAUUACCGCUCAAACUCUGAUUUACGAAAGGAAGACGUGCGAUUAACAGGCUGUAAUAAAUUCCUCACCCCUCUUUGGUUCCGUACUCUUGAGUUUCUCCCGCUGUAUCUGACCUCAUGCUUUACGCAGUGCGGUCGUCGAGUUGAUAAUCCGUGUCAGUAAUCUCUUUUAACAAUUUAUUUCAGAAAGACAGAUCAAACACACCAUUUCCCCUGACGUGGAGUACAGACCGGUAGGUCAUUCUAUUGUUAUAUGUUAAUUAGCCAUAUGGAUAACUUUUUUUUAACUUGCUGGCUAGCUAGUUGCUUGCUGGCUAGCUAGCGUUCAUGUAAUUUAAGUUCUGUCGGAGUUUCCUUCGCACACAUUUGAUUGUUAACGAUAGCUUGGCGAGAGUGACAUUUAUACUUCAGUUUUCAUACGAGCCUUGAUUUGGUAGCUUGUCGAAUGUUGUUAUCCUGACACUCCAGUUUUGUUUCUUGGCUAUUGGCUAGCCACUUUCGUUUUGCUAAACCAUUUGGAAGAAAAUAUUGCUGACACGUUAGCCAGACAGGCCAGUGACCACAUUCAAGUUGUUACUGACCUAUUCUUCAAUUUUAGCACAUUGCGCUCUGUUCUUGCCGAGAUUAAUUAUUAUAUCUACAUUAAGGAUUUGUAUGUUCUUCUAUCUCGCAAAUAUAGAUCGAGUCCUGUAGUUGAGUUAUAUUUGACUUUUUAUCAGCACACCUUGGUGACGCCAGUCAAUCAGCUACAUCACCUUUCACAUGCUCGUGCAUCAUCAACAAAGACGAAUGGUGAGACUGAUAGUCGGCUUCAUUUUCAAGUCUUGUGUUGGUAAGAAUGGAUUUGGCAAUAUAUUUGUAUGGUCAAACUGUGUGAAAUAUGAUAUUGUGAAACAUUGCACCGUUAAACGUGAGCAGGAGUCUAUUUUAUGGAAUUGAUUGGGAUCAAUGCCAAUUGUCAAUCGAGCACGGCAAAAUGAGAUUGACUUUACAGCACCCAUUUGAGUCAAGACUCAAACUGACAGAUGUAGAGUGUGGUAUAGCAGCUAGAUAAUGCAUUAUCUCGAUAUUAUUAAAAAAACAUAGCUGAUAUCUGCUUCUGUCCCUUGCAGCCCCGUAUUUGCAGUGACUGGUGUUGUUGAGCCACCUUGUGGUGUUUGCACACAGUGUUCCCCCCCUGCCUCCCUCUCUCUGUUUCUCCAUCUACUCUGUCGCAUUUUUUUCUCUCACUCUUUCUCAGUUGUUAGGGUGUUUGACACCUGAGGUCUGCCACUAUGCAGCCUGGAGGAGCACACAAUGCUGUGUGUGGCCAGAGCCUGCUGUCCAACUCCCUUAGGGUGUAUCUGAACAACAAGAACAGACUGCAGCCCAUAAUCGGUCUGGGCUGUGUGACAGAGUGUGUGACACUCGGCUUGGACUCUGAGGCGGUGUACCUGUGUGAGGUGUGUGUGUGUCGUCUCAGUAAGGCUGAUGUCAGGAGCCACAUCAUGGGGAGUCUCCACCGAUACAACUACAUUAAAGUCCAUCACCCUCACUUUGUGUCAGAGUGGAAGCAGAGUCCUCCUGACCUGUCCAAGCUGGCCCGGCCUCUUAUGGAGAUGGCUCAAAUACUAGAGAAGAGAGAAGGAACCGGGGACGUACAGGUAUGUGUGUGUCUGUGCAUGCUGGGGUGAUGUUUGUGUGUGCGUGCAAAUCUCCUCUGUCCUGUCUUUCUGUUAGGUGCUGAAGUUGGAUGCUGCCAUGUAUGACGAUAUGACAACACACAGCGAGAGUGAUGCUCUCAUCCUCUUGCAUGCCACCAGGACUGGGAGGGAGCAGAGAGAUCUUCAGAGCCAAUCAGUGAAGCAAUCAGUCCAGUCGGAGUAUCUUACCAUCCAGUCACAGAGAACUGUGAUAUCGCCUCGGAGGCUCUCCGUCCAACCAGAGAGGCCUGUUGUCCAGCUUGACAACCGAACCGUCCUAUGGAGGAGUCCGACCACCCAGAGUCGGAACUCAUCUAGCCAAUCGGAGAAGUCCCCUGUGUUGCAGCAGAGUGUCUCUAUCCAAUCACGGCUUAGUUCGUUGGAGGAGGAGUUUCUCCAUGGAAGCAAGCCACUGGUUGGUGCUUCACUGAAGCGUCCUGCCUCAUCAUGGCAGCAUGACCCCUCUCUUUCCCCGACCCCAAAUGUCACAGCUGGAAGUCAGACGUCUCUGGGCGGGCCUGAGGGGAAGGGGGCGGGACUGCAGGGGGUUCCUGCAAAGCUGAUUCGCUGUGAGCCGGUGUUCAAGGUCAGUCUAUCUAUGACGGACGGCCCCUGGCUGUUGGAGAGGAACUCCUUCAGCCUGGAAACCUCCCCCUCCUCCCUCAGACACGCCUCACCCCUUCACUCCCCCACCGUAGAUGCCUCACUCCAACCCUCUCCCGAUCCCUCACGUUUGCUUGGCCAGCCGGGAAACUCAGUUGCCGCAAGACUCGGAAACACACAUGAAAAUACACACACUCCGGGACUGAGACGCACUCCGGGACAUGCACACACUUCAACUAUGAGACUGAGCCCAGCCAUACCUGAUGAGCAGCUGACUAUGGGAGACGAGGACACAGAGAAAGACCGUCUGUAUCUCGGAGGGGAACAGAGGUUCACCGACUAUGCUUUGUACGAUGGCAGAGAGAAAAACACAACUGACCUGGUUUACCUCAGGAGAGAGCAGGACCGAACUGACCAUCUGUAUUCAGAAAAUAACCGACUCACUGACACAAAGUUCCAUGUCCGAGUGGGGCAGAACAACCGACAAGGCAGUAUUUACCCCGGUCUAGCCUGUGCCAGAGACAUCACUGACACAGCGUCUGUUGCCGGGCCGAUUCUCUUCACUACCGGCUGUCUCUUGAAGGAGAGCUUGACAGACACUCCUCUAAUGGAAGAAGAACAGGAGGAGGAGAGGGGGAAUGAGUGUCAUUCUGGGGCACAGAGGCUUGCAGAGGAUGACAGGACAACUGACAGUCUGUACUCUACUGGAGAGAGGAUAACAGACAGUGGGUUUUCCACAGGAAGCAGGUCAAAUGACAAAAUGUACCAAACAGGAGAACGAUCAACUGACAAUCAGUCUUUUACAACAGAAGUGACAACUGACUGUUGGUAUGCUACAGGAGAGGAGCUAACUGACCGUCAGUUGAUGGAGGAAGAGGAGCGAUGCAGAGCUGAAAUUCAGAAUGGAGUUGGGCUCAUCGUGGAGGUCAUGGUGGAGGAGGGGGAGAGAGAGGAAGGAAAGGAUGGAGAGAGGGAGGAGAACUCAGACUUUUACCACCAACAGUAUUUGCAAGGCCAGCCUCUACAACGGCACCAGGCGCAGGGGUUCACAGGAACUCAUAGGGGCGCCGUAGGGCUUCAUAUGGUUGACACAGCAGAUCUCAGACAUGACAUAGCCCUUCAUAGAGAUCAGGCAGGGCCAGCCCUUCACCGAGAAGAGAUGAGCAGUCGUAUGGGUGACAUAGCAGCUAUGCAGCAGGUGCAGUUAUGUGAGGCUGAGUACAGAGAAGCAUGGGCCUAUGGAGGCACACAGCUGACCCCUGACACCUAUAGAUCAGGUCCGCAGGAGUAUGAGACUGACCCUGGCUCCUACCUGCCAUUCCCAGAGGGCCACAGAAUAAACUGUGACCCCCACCAAGUGGUUUCUGAUUGGUUUAGAACCACCCCUGGCCCGCACUUCGUUCACUCUAACCCUGACGAGUUUACACCCCAGGUCCUCCCGUACCCCCACAAUACAAUGCCCCAGGGGUUUGGACCCAAUCCCCACUCUGGUCCCUUCCCCAUGAAGAUGAGGGGCGUGCAGUCACAGGAGUACAGAAGGCUCCCCAGCCCCCCAUUUGUUAUGGUGUCUAGACCCUGCCACCCUCAGCCCUUCUUUCCAGGACAUGAAGGCUUUCUGUCCCCCCGGCACAGCCCAGCCUUACCUCCCAGCCCUCCCCACUACAGAGGAGCCUACUUGGGCCACAGCCCUGCCCGGAGUCCCUGGGCAGGACCAGGACCUCCCUGGGUCUAAUUACCACACACCAUACAUAAAUCCACCAGGAUAGUUAUUUGUGGCACUUUAGACACUGUUGUUUUAAAUGGACAGGUGUUUUGUGUGUUUUAUACACUCUAGGUUCUAUUGUUUUUAUAGCUGUCUUAAACCAACAGUAUCCCAUCCAUUGUAUAAGUGCUGAUUUUAGGUACUUCCCCUGUAUGAUGUCAUGAAAUCUCAUUGACAACUGGCAACGAUUCAACUCACCGGUUCAAUUCUGUUACCAAUUCAGAUUUAUACAAGACUUGUUUGUUUUAAGUUGUUUGUCUUCUACCGUCGAAUCAAGAUGGAGCUGAGAUGGAUAAAUAGACAACACGUUGAACACUGGCUAAAUUUUAUAAUAUGAACUCAGUUUGUGAAAUAUCUAUUUUUCAACAACAAAUAUUUUGGUUAAUGCAAAAAAAAAUCUAUGGUUAUAUUAACAUUAAGGUUUAUUUUACACAAUAAGGGGGAUCAAUUAGGGGUUCAACAUUGACCUUUCCAGAACUGUCUAGAAGGAGGCGCUGUAUUAGUUUUCAGUUCGACCAGCUGAGGGAAGCAGAGCUGAAUAAGUUGUUUAAAAUGAUGUUCAGAAACACAACACUUGUUAAAAUAAACAGUUUUAUGUUUAAAUGCUUUUUAUAUUUGCCAUGUGUGCUUCCCUCAUGAAGUUGGGUUUAUUUCAGUGUAACAACAGCUUUGGCCAGUGUUAUACUUUGACUUUGGUUCACACACCUUUACAUUGGCUUAACUGAGUAGAUCUGAUUCCAUUUGUUGAAUUAUUAGUGUUAAUUUGAAGAUUAUUCCCCCAAAAUGUUUAUGUGCAGCAGGUACGACAGACUUGGAUUCGCCUCUUCCUAUAGGCAGACUACGCGCUGCCCUUUUCUUUUUCAAGGAACUGUUGGGUCUCAACUCACUUUUGAAAAGUAGAAUACACCAGGUGCAAUUUUGACAUUUUGUUGUGUAUCAGUAGUUUCCCACUUAUGACAGUCGCUCAAUGAGACCAUGUCAGCAAAACAUUUUAAGAUUGCUAGGUAAGGUAGUUGAGCCAGGGCCCUGACCUCCAGGGGGGCCUCCAUUGGUUUUGUAAUUUUGUCACUCUUUCACAGACACUCAUAUAUAUAUAUAUAUAUAUAUACACACACACACAAGUAUAUGUGGAUUUGUCUAUUUCAGCCACACCUGUUGCUGACAGGUGUUUAAAAUCGAGCACACAGCCAUUCAAUCUCCAUAGACAAACAUUCGCAGUAGAAUGGCCUUACUGAAGAGCUCAGUUACUUUCAACGGGGCACUGUCAUAGGGUUCCACAUUCUCCAACAAGUCAGUUUGUCUAGAGCUACUCGGUCAAUUGUUAUUGUGAAGUGGAAACGUCUUGGAGAAACAACAGCUCGGCUGCGAAGUGGUAGGCCACACAAGCUCACAGAACGGGACCGCCGAGUGCUGUAGAGCACAAAGAUUGUCUGUCCCCUGUUGCAACACUCACUACAGAGUUCCAAACUGGAGGAGGAGGGGGGGUUCUAAAAGGCUAGAGGCAGCACUGGAAAGGCUACUCAGCAAGUGGCAUUGAACUUUAUUUUUUUGGUCAGUUUUGUCUCCCCCACUGCCCAAUGUCAAUUUGUGGGCAUGAUACAACUUGUCAAGCAGGUCUAUAAUAUGGUUAAUGUAGCACAGCUGGAUUCAAGUUGUUUUUUUUAACCUGUUUUUCCAUUGAGUCAAUGCUGUAUUCAAGCGUCUCAUACUAGUUUAUUUUUUUAUUUGCUGCUGUAUUUGAGUACAUUAUGGCCUUCAGGCUAAUAAAGUCACAGUAUCCAUUGAUCUCCUGCUCCAGUCAUCUCCAGCCAUGCAGUGGCUCCCAAUUUAUUAUUUUUUACCAAAGACAAACCAAAUCUUACAUGAGG
Molecule: long non-coding RNA, 6859 nt
Organism: Oncorhynchus tshawytscha (Chinook salmon)
Lineage: Eukaryota; Metazoa; Chordata; Actinopteri; Salmoniformes; Salmonidae
Source: Ensembl